RNAcentral lists this ribosomal RNA (503 nucleotides) under uncultured bacterium. RNAcentral's name for it is "partial 16S ribosomal RNA". It matches the Rfam family "Bacterial small subunit ribosomal RNA", at positions 28 to 523 of the family's 1533-position model. The record is from RNAcentral.
GAUGAACGCUAGCGAUAGGCCUAACACAUGCAAGUCGAGGGGCAGCAUAGAGUAGCAAUACUUUGAUGGCGACCGGCGCACGGGUGAGUAACACGUAUGCAACCUACCUACAUCAGGGGAAUAACUCGGAGAAAUUCGGACGAAGACCGCAUCAUACAGGGAUUCCGCAUGGCAAUAUUAGUUAAAGAUUUAUGGGAUGUAGAUGGGCAUGCGUUCCAUUAGCUUGUUGGUGAGGUAACGGCUCACCAAAGCAACGAUGGAUAGGGGAACUGAGAGGUUUGUCCCCCAAACUGGAACUGAGACACGGACCAGACUCCUACGGGAUGCAGCAGUGAGGAAUAUUGGUCAAUGGACGAGAGUCUGAACCAGCCAAAUCGCGUGAAGGAAGACUGCCCUACGGGUUGUAAACUUCUUUUGUACAGGAAUAAAAGACAUUACGUGUAAUGUAUUGCAUGUACUGUACGAAUAAGCAUCGGCUAACUCCGUGCCAGCCGCCGCCGUAA